RNAcentral lists this non-coding RNA (948 nucleotides) under Rineloricaria pentamaculata. RNAcentral describes it as "partial 12S ribosomal RNA". It matches the Rfam family "Bacterial small subunit ribosomal RNA". The record is from RNAcentral. Lineage: Eukaryota; Metazoa; Chordata; Actinopteri; Siluriformes; Loricariidae.
GGCUUGGUCCUGACUUUACUAUAAGCUUUAACCUAACUUAUACAUGCAAGUAUCCGCACCCCUGUGAGAAUGCCCUCAAUCCCCCAACCGGGGACGAGGAGCCGGUAUCAGGCACACCACCCAAGCCCAAGACACCUUGCUUAGCCACACCCCCAAGGGAAAUCAGCAGUAAUAAACAUUAAGACAUAAGUGAAAACUUGACUUAAUUAAGGUUAAGAGGGCCGGUAAAAUCCGUGCCAGCCACCGCGGUUAUACGAAAGACCCUAGUUUAUAGAUACGGCGUAAAGGGUGGUUAAAGAAAAAAUUAAAAUAAAGCUAAAGAUCCCCUAAGCAGUCAUACGCUCCACGGAGACACGAAACCCAAAUACGAAAGUUGCCUUAAAUAAACUUUUCCUGACCCCACGAAAGCUGAAAAACAAACUGGGAUUAGAUACCCCACUAUGUUCAGCCUUAAAUCUAGAUGAAGAUUUUACAAAAUCAUCCGCCAGGGAACUACAAGCACAGCUUAAAACCCAAAGGACUUGGCGGUGCCUCAGAUCCACCUAGAGGAGCCUGUUCUAGAACCGAUAACCCCCGUUAAACCUCACCACCCCUUGCCUUUCCCGCCUAUAUACCGCCGUCGUCAGCUUACCCUGUGAAGGCUCAAUAGUAAGCAAAAUGAGUUCAACCCAAAACGUCAGGUCGAGGUGUAGCGCACGAGGUGGAAAGAAAUGGGCUACAUUUUCUACCACAGAAUACUACGAAUAACGCCCUGAAAACAGCAUCUGAAGGAGGAUUUAGCAGUAAAAAGUAAAUAGAGUGUACUUUUGAAAUAGGCUCUGAGGCGCGCACACACCGCCCGUCACUCUCCCCAUCACUACUAACUUAACCAUUUCUAAUAUUAAUACAACAAUACGGGGAGGCAAGUCGUAACAUGGUAAGUGUACCGGAAGGUGCACUUGGAAUAUC